GUGAUCUUAGCAAGUCCCUUCUCUGGCUUCUAGCAGGGGGAGGGGUGUCAGAUGACCACUAAGUAAUGAGGAGGCUGG
Vicugna pacos (alpaca) is the source of this 78-nucleotide non-coding RNA. The record is from RefSeq and is a predicted model, not a curated record. Lineage: Eukaryota; Metazoa; Chordata; Mammalia; Artiodactyla; Camelidae.